GAUGAAGAACGUAGCGAAAUGCGAUAAGUAGUGUGAAUUGCAGAAUUCAGUGAAUCAUCGAAUCUUUGAACGCACAUUGCGCCCCUUGGUAUCCCGAGGGGCAUGCCUGUUCGAGCGUCAUUUCAACCCUCAAGCCCCCGGGUUUGGUGUUGGGGAUCGGCUCUGCCUUCUGGCGGUGCCGCCCCCGAAAUACAUUGGCGGUCUCGCUGCAGCCUCCAUUGCGUAGUAGCUAACACCUCGCAACUGGAACGCGGCGCGGCCAUGCCGUAAAACCCCAACUUCUGAAUGUUGACCUCGGAUCAGGUAGGAAUACCCGCUGAACUUAAGCAUAUCAAUAAGCGGAGGA
This 346-nucleotide unclassified non-coding RNA is filed under the name soil metagenome. RNAcentral's name for it is "partial contains 5.8S ribosomal RNA, internal transcribed spacer 2, and large subunit ribosomal RNA". The stretch from base 1 to 120 matches the Rfam family "5.8S ribosomal RNA", at positions 35 to 154 of the family's 154-position model. The record is from RNAcentral.